GAAGAAUCGGCCGGGGAUUCGUGGGAGUGGAGCGGAAGUCGGCUGCUGGCGCGGUUGAGCCGCGUGUGAAGAGGAAGGAGGAGCGUUUGUACCUUUGGCGUCUGUCAGCUGCGGCACUAAGCCACAUGCAGGAACUCGUGAUCCACUGUGGCUUCUGUAUUGGACAGUGCAUAUCUGAAACAAAUUGGAUCAGUCACCCCCGCCCCACUUAAAAUAAGACAGCCUCCGGACGCGCAGGCUCAGCGGCCAUGGCUCACGGGCCCAGCCGCUCCGCGGCAUGUGGGAUCCUCCCGGACUGGAGCACGAACCCAUGUCCCCUGCAUCGGCAGGCGGACUCUCAACCACUGCGCCACCAGGGAAGCCCCAUGUAUAACUUUUGACUCCCCCAAAACUUAACUACUAAUAGCCUACUGUUGACUGGAAGCCUUAACCAUAACAUAAACAGUCAAUUAACACAUAUUUUGUAUAUGUAUUAUAUGCUGUCUUCUUACAUGAAAGUAAGCAAUAGAAA
This is a long non-coding RNA of Lagenorhynchus albirostris (white-beaked dolphin), 511 nucleotides long. RefSeq lists it as uncharacterized. Lineage: Eukaryota; Metazoa; Chordata; Mammalia; Artiodactyla; Delphinidae. The record is from RefSeq and is a predicted model, not a curated record. The transcript is spliced from 3 exons.